UACAGAGGGUGCAAGCGUUGUUCGGAAUUAUUGGGCGUAAAGCGCGUGUAGGCGGCUUGGCAAGUCAGUUGUGAAAGCCCGGGGCCCAACCCCGGAAUUGCAUCUGAAACUGCCUGGCUAGAGUCCCGGAGAGGAAGGCAGAAUUCCCGGUGUAGGGGUGAAAUCCGUAGAUAUCGGGAGGAAUACCAGCGGCGAAGGCGGCCUUCUGGACGGUGACUGACGCUGAGACGCGAAAGCGUGGGGAGCAAACAGG
RNAcentral lists this ribosomal RNA (253 nucleotides) under uncultured bacterium. RNAcentral describes it as "partial 16S ribosomal RNA". It matches the Rfam family "Bacterial small subunit ribosomal RNA", at positions 524 to 776 of the family's 1533-position model. The record is from RNAcentral.